Molecule: long non-coding RNA, 788 nt
Organism: Physella acuta
Lineage: Eukaryota; Metazoa; Mollusca; Gastropoda; Physidae
Source: RefSeq, a predicted model, not a curated record
UCUGCAUAUAGAUCUAGAUCUAGGGCCUAUAUGAAAAAUAAAUUUAGACUUUAGAUCUUGAAAGAAUAAACAGUGUGAAUAUAAUCUUAACUUAUUUUAAAUUCAGUAUAUUAUAGUGACCAUUACUGGCUUCUCCUCCAUCCUCUUCUAAAGUCCCAUUACUGGCACCACAAUAAGAGGAGUUUGUAUUGGCAGAUGAUGUGUCAUCUUCUUCAUCAUCAUCUAAUGGCUCUUCUUCCCAGUCAUCUAGUGAUUCAGGAGUUUCUAUGAACAGCUAACAACAUUGGAUGGCCAAAUAAAGGCUGACUGGAUACUGAAUUGCGAUCAGGUGCACCAUUUCUGCAAACAUAUUUUACAUUAUUUUCAGAAACAAUUCACGAAACAAUAAUGUGCUAUUAAUUUUAAAUACUGAUGCCAUUCCAUUUUUGAAAAUGAAACCAUUGCUUUACUUACUUUUUAUCUCUAAGGUAGAUUGGCAGUACCAUAGUAUCUUCAACAUUACUGCUAGGUAUCUCAUAACUGAAAAACAAGACUCAUAAUUAGUACUAAAUAAAAAUGAAAAAGACACGUUACUGUGGAUACUACAAAAGUCUGAUAAAAAAAAGGCCCUAAACUGCCAAUCUUAAACUGAGAUUAUUUAAUUAUCUCUCUGUGUCCAUUGUCGCACAAGGCUACCAGAGGUUAUAUAAUGGUCACUAUUGCUUAAUCUCUAAAAAUAAAAAAUGUACAAGCUUAUUAAAUAAAAACAUACACAAAUAUGUCAUCUCUGUCCAAUAUAUUAUUUACUC